AUAGCUGAAGUUUCGCUGCUUCCAGACCAACUACACCAAUAUUUUGCUUUCCAAGAGUCUCCUGAGCUUUUUCUAAGACUGACUGAAGGUGAAAGGCCAUUCUGUUUGAAUUGGAAGUAGACAGGAUCAUGUACCUCAAGCUGCUCGUGUAGCCUUCUCUGGACUUCGAUUUGCAUCUGCAAUGCGUCGUUUAUAUGUCUUUUGCACAUAGACACACUGAGAAACAAACUCUUACAGACCCCUUUGGAAUACCAUCAAUUGGCGAGGCUAGGAAUAAGAAUGCUCAUUGUUGUACAUUAGAGUACUCGACUUUUCCACUGUUCAGAUUUACUGUGGCUAUCUUCUCCCAAAGGCGUAUGAUUCUCCACAUUGGUGAAAGAGGGAAACUUAUAUAAGGUAUUGUUCGAUUUCUGUACUUGCAUUUCCUUUUAAGGCCCCUUAUGCGAUAUUAAGGCAUCUACUGAUGGAAAAACAAAUGGGGUGGGGUCGUUUUUUGAUGCUCAAACCCAACCUCCCCCCUCAUACCCAAAGCUAAAUCAAAUGGGAAGGGGCCUACUUAGGCUGGUCUAUCUCAUACUAUGUGGCUAAUUUAACAUUGUUGAAGUUGUGUUACUUUCCAUACCCUAUUAUAACUAGGUGAAAUGAACAUUAAUUUACUUUCCAUUAGAAUACAACUAUUGUUUCUAUUAUAUGGUUCAAAAUAAUCUUAUGAUAGCACUUGAAAAUUUGUGUCAAUAUCUAUAUGCUCGACCACCUUACCUUAGGUACCUAGAAAUUAAACUCAUGUGAGUCACGUCAUAAACUAAGUGGUGGAGGGAGAGCCACCGCACUCGUGCACGAGAUGGGCUUUUCCCUUAAGGUGGUGUCAUAGAUGCUCUUUGGAAGAGAAGCAGCAUGGUCUAUGUGAUGUUUUGAUAGUACAAAUCAAGCUGAAGUUGAACACAAACAUGUGUUAAGAUGCUUGAUAAUUGCUCCUUGUUGACCACACAAGAGUGGCCCUUGGAUUUCCAUUAGAAAUUAAAAGUGAGAAAUGACCACGGAAUGAUAUUCCUUGUUGUAAAAAGAAAGUGGGGAAGAGCAGUAUAAAGUUUUUAUUUUUUUAAUUUUUUUUAUUUUCCCCAAAAUUCUUAGAGAAUAAGAAUAUUAGAAUCAUGACUCAAAGUAUAGCCGGUGGGUUUUAUUCUUCAAGUCUAGAAUUUUAAUUUGUAUUUAUUCUCACAAUUUGAAACCACUAAAAAUGGGUUCGCAUUUGUACUUUCAUUCUUUACCUAUAUAGGAUUUUAAUAGUUUUUAUUUUCAAAAAAUUCUACUUUUAAUAAUGUUCAUGAUUGAUGAUGAAUAUGAUCAUUAGGGUUACAUCUUCUAUUAUUGAUAGUGAAAGGUUUACUGCUGAUGAAUAAUGAAGUUCAUCAGUCGUCACCAUCCUAUUUUUAUUUACUUUAUUUAGAUAAAGCUUAUUUCUGCUUAAAGAAAAGACUACGGCGGCUCAAAUUCUGUUUACUAAUUUAGAGGCCACUGAAUUUUAAUUUACUAAAAAACUUACUCCGUAUUAUUUUUGAAGCCAUACAAUUUAUUCAUGACCUUAUGCUUGAAUAUGAACACAUCCAAAUUGUAAAUAUUCCAAUAUCAUUGAAUAAUUACCCCCUCGUUUUCAAAUAAGACAGAUGAAUUUAUUGAGAAUUCUUAUCGAAAAAAAGCUUAUCAAGAUUUAGUUUUUUUCUCAAAUUAUAGAAAGAUUUUCUUAGAUAAUGCUAAAAGAAUGACAAUAUCCUCAAUUAUGUUGAUUUAACAAAUAAUAUCAAUUUUUUUUUUACCAGCUCAGCAACAACUGACAACUGAAUUAAUGAAUUUAUUCUUGGUGAAUCCCUAUGAAAACUAGGAAAAAUUUAGAGUCAGUAGGAUGGUCAGCAUAGAAUCGCUAAUUACGAUUCAAUUGUUAUAAAACUGCCAAGUGCUAACUUAUGCGAUUUAUUUCUGACCGAGUCAGUUUAGCUGCUAGCGUGGACGAUAAAUAUGAAAACUUUAGUAAAAGUACAUGAGGAAUUUUGGUUCUUUUAGUAUUGAUCUCCUAUUUUUUCCUGAUAUAAUAAUCUCUUAGCUUUGUUCUCCUCACUUAUUUUAGAUAAGUUAAAAUAAGAUAAGAUAAAAGCUAAUAAGUUCAAACAAGAUAAGGGCUAGUAAUGCCUAACAAUAAGAUCAGAUAAGGGUUUAUAAAUUAAAUAAGACAAGGGUUAAUAACUCCGAUCCUAAUGAAAUAAGUAAAAUCCUGGUGAAAGUGUACCUAUAUAAGUGAUCCCCUCUUGAGUAAUCUUUGAUCUUAGAGAAAUGAAAGGUUUUUCCUUAAAAUUAAAGAGUGAUAGAAAAUCACAUUAGAGAUGUGAGACAUGGCAUUAUUUAUUGCAUUGUUGUGCAUUGAAAAUUAGAACUUAGGCAAUUUGUUUCUGCCUUUUGUAUUUGGGUUGUUUGCGUAUGUAAAAGACAUAAAGAAAGUGGGCUUGCUAUGUGACGUAACAUUAGAUAGAAGCAAAUGGAGGGGGAGGACCUUUGUGGAUGACCAAAAUGAGAUAGACUCUCGGUUCAUGCAACUGACUCCUCUUUGGGAAUACGCUAUGGCAGUAUGGCUUUAUUGUUGUCUUGUUUGUCUAUGAGAAGAGAUGAUGAAUGAAAAAUGAAAAUUUGAAACAUAUAAAGAACAUAAAAUUGGAGAUUGAUGAAUAUUUUUGAAGUGAAAUAAGAAGAAAGUCUUGAAACUGAUAAAAGGUUUUUUGUUUAGAAAGGUCACAAGUCAGGCAUGGACAACACUCGGGGAGGUGGAGAAAACAAACAUUAAAAACAAAAUUGAAAUACAAGGGGAAUAUAUAGACAUGCUAUGCAAAUUUUCAUGAGAAAUACUUAUUAGAAUAUUCCAAAUUUUCAUGUAGUGCUCCGGCCAUCCGUUCUUAAUGUUUUAUCAAUUUAUUGUGACAUCAAAUAUCAAGGGGAACUCAAGUUAAAUGUAGAUGCUUUCUUCGCUAAGAUCUGUCUAGAUAGCAUGGGAAGGUGGACUGCUAAGUGCUGAUUCCGAAAUCAACUCAGCUCCCUACAUCACUGUGAGCUGCAAAAUUUUCGAGCUGUCGUGAGAUGGUGCAGGAAUUAUGGAUGGAAUAAUGUGAUCAUUACAACAAAGCUGUAGAAAAGUUAUUUGUUCCACCACUGCUCAUCCUUGGAAAUACCUGAGUACGAUGUGCAGGGGUGCUGCCUGCUAAGGGAGAGCCUGGGGAAGAUUUAGUUUGAACCAACCAAGGCGGUAGUUGAUCACCUUGCAGGAGAGGAAUGAACUAGUGGAAGUUUAUUAAAGUUGAAUUAGUUGAUCUCUAAGUUUUUGCUAAGAUUAUUGUUAUGUGGAUUUGCUUGCUGCCUGUAAUGCUAAUUUUAGGGAACACCUGCCCAUAUCAAGUUCCCUUUCAUUCAAAAAUAAAACUACGGAAAAGAGGGAGGAGGGAUCACUCAUGUUUCUAUUUUUAAUUUUUUUUAUUGGAAUUAAUUGCUAAACAUCACCAAGAAUUGCUAGGUACCGCUUCAUUUUUGACGUUUUUUCCCCUCUCAUCCCAUAAUUAUCUCCUUUAUCUCCCUCCUCUCACAAUUAAACUCACAGUACCACCUUAGCUGCCUACCCAAAAACAAUAACAAUAAUGCCAUCCAAAGACAGUGGAAUGCGCCAUUUGAAUGAUUUAAUGGUGUCUGUGGUGGUGAUCACGGCGUAGUUGCUAUUAAUAUUAAUGACACCCUUUUUGGAGAAUAGAAAAUUGUGAAAGAAAAACAUAAAAUUUAUUAAUUAAAGGAGUCAAAGUCCAAGAGGGAAAUGAAAUAAGAAAUAAAUGACGGUAAGAUGAGAUAAAUGAAAUAAGAAAUAUUAUAUCAAAGCAAGUAGGGUAAAAAGACAUGAAAUCAUGGGUGAAUGAAUGGGAAAAGAAAAUACAAGCAUAAAAGAUGUAAAUAUACCAAUUGACUAUUAUUGCAGUGGUGAUUGGGGCUUCACUUGAUAAGGAGGAUUGCGUGUUCAAUCCCUCGCAACAAUUAUUGGGAGGGGAUUGGAAUCUAACCACCCAUAACUGAACCCUAAAUUCAGAUUAAGCCAAAGGGUGAACCAUGUGAAAUACAAAAUAAUAAAAAAAAA
This is a long non-coding RNA of Chenopodium quinoa (quinoa), 4156 nucleotides long. RefSeq lists it as uncharacterized. The transcript has 4 exons. NCBI's taxonomy places the organism in Eukaryota, Viridiplantae, Streptophyta, Magnoliopsida, Caryophyllales, Amaranthaceae. The record is from RefSeq and is a predicted model, not a curated record.